Molecule: ribosomal RNA, 518 nt
Filed under: Rhizophagus fasciculatus
Lineage: Eukaryota; Fungi; Glomeromycota; Glomeromycetes; Glomerales; Glomeraceae
Description: partial 28S ribosomal RNA
Rfam family: Eukaryotic small subunit ribosomal RNA (bases 1-291)
Source: RNAcentral
UGGGUAAUCUUUUGAAACUUCAUCGUGCUGGGGAUAGAGCAUUGCAACUAUUGCUCUUGAACGAGGAAUCCCUAGUAAGUACAAGUCACUAGCUUGUGCUGAUUACGUCCCUGCCCUUUGUACACACCGCCCGUCGCUACUACCGAUUGAAUGGCUUAGUGAGGCCUUCGGAUUGAAAUUCGGAGACUGGCAACAGACUCCUGGUUUUGAAAAGUUGGACAAACUUGGUCAUUUAGAGGAAGUAAAAGUCGUAACAAGGUUUCCGUAGGUGAACCUGCGGAAGGAUCAUUACCGAUUUUUAGCGGACCCGAUCUUUGAUCAUGGUCUCGCGAAAACUUGUAUUUAAAACCCCACUCUUAUAAAUUGAAUCAUUUUAUAUUAUGUAUGUAAUAAAUAAAGAUCACUUUCAACAACGGAUCUCUUGGCUCUCGCAUCGAUGAAGAACGUAGCGAAGUGCGAUAAGUAAUGUGAAUUGCAGAAUUCCGUGAAUCAUCGAAUCUUUGAACGCAAAUUGCACU